UUUGAUCAUGGCUCAGAUUGAACGCUGGCGGCAGGCCUAACACAUGCAAGUCGAGCGGUAGAGAGAAGCUUGCUUCUCUUGAGAGCGGCGGACGGGUGAGUAAUGCCUAGGAAUCUGCCUGGUAGUGGGGGAUAACGUUCGGAAACGGACGCUAAUACCGCAUACGUCCUACGGGAGAAAGCAGGGGACCUUCGGGCCUUGCGCUAUCAGAUGAGCCUAGGUCGGAUUAGCUAGUUGGUGGGGUAAUGGCUCACCAAGGCGACGAUCCGUAACUGGUCUGAGAGGAUGAUCAGUCACACUGGAACUGAGACACGGUCCAGACUCCUACGGGAGGCAGCAGUGGGGAAUAUUGGACAAUGGGCGAAAGCCUGAUCCAGCCAUGCCGCGUGUGUGAAGAAGGUCUUCGGAUUGUAAAGCACUUUAAGUUGGGAGGAAGGGUUGUAGAUUAAUACUCUGCAAUUUUGACGUUACCGACAGAAUAAGCACCGGCUAACUCUGUGCCAGCAGCCGCGGUAAUACAGAGGGUGCAAGCGUUAAUCGGAAUUACUGGGCGUAAAGCGCGCGUAGGUGGUUUGUUAAGUUGGAUGUGAAAUCCCCGGGCUCAACCUGGGAACUGCAUUCAAAACUGACUGACUAGAGUAUGGUAGAGGGUGGUGGAAUUUCCUGUGUAGCGGUGAAAUGCGUAGAUAUAGGAAGGAACACCAGUGGCGAAGGCGACCACCUGGACUAAUACUGACACUGAGGUGCGAAAGCGUGGGGAGCAAACAGGAUUAGAUACCCUGGUAGUCCACGCCGUAAACGAUGUCAACUAGCCGUUGGAAGCCUUGAGCUUUUAGUGGCGCAGCUAACGCAUUAAGUUGACCGCCUGGGGAGUACGGCCGCAAGGUUAAAACUCAAAUGAAUUGACGGGGGCCCGCACAAGCGGUGGCAAUGUGGUUUAAUUCGAAGCAACGCGAAGAACCUUACCAGGCCUUGACAUCCAAUGAACUUUCCAGAGAUGGAUUGGUGCCUUCGGGAACAUUGAGACAGGUGCUGCAUGGCUGUCGUCAGCUCGUGUCGUGAGAUGUUGGGUUAAGUCCCGUAACGAGCGCAACCCUUGUCCUUAGUUACCAGCACGUCAUGGUGGGCACUCUAAGGAGACUGCCGGUGACAAACCGGAGGAAGGUGGGGAUGACGUCAAGUCAUCAUGGCCCUUACGGCCUGGGCUACACACGUGCUACAAUGGUCGGUACAGAGGGUUGCCAAGCCGCGAGGUGGAGCUAAUCCCAUAAAACCGAUCGUAGUCCGGAUCGCAGUCUGCAACUCGACUGCGUGAAGUCGGAAUCGCUAGUAAUCGCGAAUCAGAAUGUCGCGGUGAAUACGUUCCCGGCCUUGUACACACCGCCCGUCACACCAUGGGAGUGGGUUGCACCAGAAGUAGCUAGUCUAACCUUUCGGGAGGACGGUCACAAAGGUGUGAUUCAUGAUUGGGG
Molecule: ribosomal RNA, 1472 nt
Filed under: Pseudoalteromonas sp. K41a-2a
Lineage: Bacteria; Pseudomonadati; Pseudomonadota; Gammaproteobacteria; Alteromonadales; Pseudoalteromonadaceae
Description: 16S ribosomal RNA
Rfam family: Bacterial small subunit ribosomal RNA
Source: RNAcentral